This 1224-nucleotide ribosomal RNA is filed under the name metagenome. Its description in RNAcentral is "bacterial LSU rRNA". It matches the Rfam family "Bacterial large subunit ribosomal RNA", at positions 1717 to 2925 of the family's 2925-position model. The record is from RNAcentral.
GCAAAAUGACACCGUAACUUCGGGAGAAGGUGUGCCGCUGUGCGUGAAAGACUUCGCGUCUGGAGCGUGUGGUGGUUGCAGAGAAACGGGGGUUGUGACUGUUUACUAAAAACACAGGACUCUGCGAAGUCACAAGACGACGUAUAGGGUCUGAUGCCUGCCCGGUGCUGGAAGGUUAAGGGGACGAGUCAGCGCAAGCGAAGCUCCGAACCGAAGCCCCAGUAAACGGCGGCCGUAACCAUAACGGUCCUAAGGUAGCAAAAUUCCUUGUCGGGUAGUUCCGACCUGCACGAGGGCAUAACAACAUCCCCGCUGUCUCGAUCAGGGACUCAGCGAAAUUGUAUCGGGGGUGAAGAUACCCUCUACCCGCGGCAAGACGGAAGACCCCAUGAACCUUUACUGCAACUUGGCAGUGAUUUUCGGGAUGUUCUGCGUAGGAUAGGUGGGAGGCUUUGAAGCGGGGCUUCUGGGUUCCGCUGAGCCAACGUUGAAAUACCACCCUGGAUAUUCUGGAAAUCUAACCUGGACCCAUUACCUGGGUCGGGGACACUGCCUGGUGGGCAGUUUGACUGGGGCGGUCGCCUCCAAAAAAGUAACGGAGGCGUGCGAAGGUUCCCUCAGGCUGAUUGGGAACCAGUCGUAGAGUGCAAACGCACAAGGGAGCUUAACUGUGAGACCGACAGGUCGAACAGGUGCGAAAGCAGGCGUUAGUGAUCCGGUGGUUCUGUAUGGAAGGGCCAUCGCUUAUCGGAUAAAAGGUACUCUGGGGAUAACAGGCUGAUCGCGCCUGAGAGUUCAUAUCGGCGGCGCGGUUUGGCACCUCGAUGUCGGCCCAUCGCAUCCUGGGGCUGGAGCAGGUCCCAAGGGUUCGGCUGUUCGCCGAUUAAAGCGGUACGCGAGCUGGGUUUAAAACGUCGUGAGACAGUUUGGUCCCUAUCUGCCGUGGGCGUAGGACACUUGAGAGGAGCUGCCCAUAGUACGAGAGGACCUGGGUGGACGUACCUCUGGUGUUCCGGUUGUCCUGCCAAGGGCAUAGCCGGGUAGCCAUGUACGGAACGGAUAACCGCUGAAAGCAUCUAAGCGGGAAGCCGGCCUCAAGACUAGGUGUCCCGGACCGCAAGGUCCCUAAAGACCCCUUGUAGACCACGAGGUUGAUAGGCCGGGUGUGAAAGCUGAGUAAUCAGUGGAGCUAACCGGUACUAAUAGGUCGUGUGGCUUGACCAU